GGCAGGGAGAUGCUGGAAUUUGCUCUUAGGCUGAGGAAAAUUGCAAAAUAUGUAGAGGGGUAGGUAGUCACAGAAAUUGUUUUCUCUAAGAAGGAUAUUUGUUGAAAGUAAAGGAAAUGACGUUGGGGCUUGAGGUUUGGAAUAACAACUGCAGAUGAGAUGGGGCCUCAGCAAAACGGAACUGCCAAGCACUGGUAUCAGGGACUUGGGAUGGCCUGAACCAUCGCAGCCCUGAGUCAUAUGACACAGCAGUUUUCUUCAGCCCUGCCCGUGAGGUAGGAGACUGUCAGGUUGGUUCAGCUCCAACCAUCUCAGCUCCUUCAUGAUUGUUUCGUCAUCAUCACCAUCGUCACUGUCAUCAUCAUCAUCAUCACCACCAGUGAUUUCCUGAAUGCCAACCAAGCACCAGUCAUCAAGCGUGAGCCACGGUGCAAAGAUGGAGGCAGGCUCUCCAUUCUAAGGGAACCUCUCAGGCCAGUAGGGAAGGCAAGAUUCAGACACCAGGGACAGGCAGCCUGGGAUGACAGGUGGAACAAGGAGGAGACACAAGAACCCCCACCCCAACCCAGGAACCCACAUCACAGGCCAGACCUGCAUGAUCGCCAGGCACCCGACUCGGGUUAUGAAGGUGUCUCUCCUAAGAGAGUGGCAGAGGCAAACUUUAGCCUUGGCAGUGCGCCUCAAGCUGCUCAGGGGAGAAGUCACGGCCAAAGCCCUGGAGUGCAUGGGUUCUUUAGCCAUGGUUCUCCUGCAGCUUCCUCUGAUAUUAUGAAGCGCCUGCCGCCACCAGGCUUGUUCUGACUCCCUUCCAUGAUCCACCCUUCUGAGUGGGGUUUGGCUUCUGUACAGCUCUCCUGUGGGCACUGAGCCCACUAGUCAGAGCAAGAGGGCUCCAGUCUCUGGACAGUCACAGUGCUUGGUGGCAAAACAUAAAUUGUCAUUCAUUCAU
RNAcentral lists this long non-coding RNA (949 nucleotides) under Homo sapiens (human). RNAcentral describes it as "HSALNT0309021". Lineage: Eukaryota; Metazoa; Chordata; Mammalia; Primates; Hominidae. The record is from RNAcentral.